This is a long non-coding RNA of Gastrolobium bilobum, 872 nucleotides long. RefSeq lists it as uncharacterized. The transcript is spliced from 6 exons. Lineage: Eukaryota; Viridiplantae; Streptophyta; Magnoliopsida; Fabales; Fabaceae. The record is from RefSeq and is a predicted model, not a curated record.
GGAUCUGUUCCCAGGAAAGGAUAUCUCAGCAACUUCAAUGUCAGUGACGGUGGGGUUGAUGAACCUGGUUGGUAGUUGGUUUGGUGCCAUGCCAUGUUGCCAUGGGGCUGGUGGACUUGCAGGACAGUAUAAAUUUGGUGGAAGAAGUGGUGCUUGUGUGGCACUUCUUGGUGUUGCCAAAUUGGUAUUGGGAACUUCUUUGGCACACAUUUUAAUGCAGUUUCUUGUGGGGAUCUUAGGUUGAUGGAGAUGGAAAAUUUGAGAGAGCUAGUGGGACAAAUGUUGGCGGUGGUACUUAUUGGGGCUUAGGAAGGCUGUUAACAAAGUGCUAGAGCUUCGAUGAGUUACUUGAACUGAGUCAGAAAGGAGAUAAUAGAAACAUGACAUGCUUGUUGGGGACAUUUAUGGUGGUAUGGACUAUUCUAAGGAUUCACUGGCAUUACAUAACCCUAGAUUGGCUUAUCGGCUUCUACCAUUUCUUAAAGUUUGGCAAGGCUACAUCAGAAGAAAUGGAGCUUGAAGAUUAUAGACCUGAAGAUAUAUCACUCUCUUGUACGAAUGAUUUGAUACAAUAUUGCCCAGGAACAGGCACUUGUAGAAUAACUUAGGAAGUCCAGGUUACAGGUGUGAUAUGGUAGAUGGAAUUUCAAAGGACUAGGAUAGCAUACAAAAACAAAUCCUAAAUGAAUGAUAUGGAAAAUUUGUACCACCAUAUUUUUUUAUAGAAUUGAGAAGAUACUUUUUUUGUAUAGAUGUCCCAUAAGUAAAUUUUUUAUUAGUUUUAUUUGGCCAUUUUUUACCUAUAUGACAUUGGUAGAAAGCUUGAAAGCUUGAUUAGCUUAUAUAAAUUGAAAACAUGAUGGCUUGUACAA